RNAcentral lists this ribosomal RNA (256 nucleotides) under uncultured bacterium. RNAcentral's name for it is "partial 16S ribosomal RNA". It matches the Rfam family "Bacterial small subunit ribosomal RNA", at positions 526 to 779 of the family's 1533-position model. The record is from RNAcentral.
CGUAGGGUGCAAGCGUUAAUCGGAAUUACUGGGCGUAAAGCGUGCGCAGGCGGUUAUAUAAGACAGUUGUGAAAUCCCCGGGCUCAACCUGGGACUGCAUCUGUGACUGUAUAGCUAGAGUACGGUAGAGGGGGAGUGGAAUUCCGCGUGUAGCAGUGAAAUGCGUAGAUAUGCGGAGGAACACCGAUGGCGAAGGCAAUCCCCUGGACCUGUACUGACGCUCAUGCACGAAAGACGUGGGGGAGCAAACAGGAUU